UAAGAAAUAGGGAGUUUCCCCUGUGAUUU
RNAcentral lists this non-coding RNA (29 nucleotides) under Mus musculus (house mouse). The record is from RNAcentral. Lineage: Eukaryota; Metazoa; Chordata; Mammalia; Rodentia; Muridae.